RNAcentral lists this transfer RNA (72 nucleotides) under Camelus bactrianus (Bactrian camel). It matches the Rfam family "tRNA". From Rfam's summary of the family: Transfer RNA (tRNA) molecules are approximately 80 nucleotides in length. Lineage: Eukaryota; Metazoa; Chordata; Mammalia; Artiodactyla; Camelidae. RNAcentral also lists the same sequence under 2 other names. The record is from Rfam by way of RNAcentral.
GAGGGUGUAACUCAGUGGUAGAGUGCUUGCUUAGUAUGCAUGAAGUCCUCAGUUCAAUCCCCAGUACCUCCA